Molecule: non-coding RNA, 76 nt
Organism: Xenopus laevis (African clawed frog)
Lineage: Eukaryota; Metazoa; Chordata; Amphibia; Anura; Pipidae
Source: Rfam
GUCUUCUGUCAGUUUUGCAUAGUUGCACUACAAGAAAAAUGUAGUUGUGCAAAUCUAUGCAAAACUGAUGGCAGCC